This 38-nucleotide transfer RNA is filed under the name Lythrum salicaria. RNAcentral describes it as "partial tRNA-His". The record is from RNAcentral. Lineage: Eukaryota; Viridiplantae; Streptophyta; Magnoliopsida; Myrtales; Lythraceae. RNAcentral also lists the same sequence under 8 other names.
AUGUAGCCAAGUGGAUCAAGGCAGUGGAUUGUGAAUCC